UCUGACUGGCCUCGACUGAAGAUGGUCGUCUCACUGGAUUUAAGAUGCACAAUGAGGGACGUCUGCAGAGACUGAGAAAGAGUCUCACCACAUCCUGACAUGAGGAAAAAGACUUUAUUGAAGACUACAAUGAGAAAAACUAUCAGGCAGCAGACGGCAUGCAUUCAAGGCUACAGGAGGAGCCCUACGAGGACGAGCCGGUCCACCUGAUGGCGGCCAGUCGCUGCGGUUCAAAGCCAACACCGACUACGUGGACUUCUACUGGACCACACGGAGGCCUUCAAACCGGACCAACAAGUUCAGCGACUCCCCGACUCGUGGGUCUGAGGACGCCGCCGAGCCUCGGUCCAGCCGGCCUCCUGUCUGUGGGUGUUUGAGUGCUGAGAGACCUGACCGUGAACACCGUUGACACCUACCUGAGGGAGACGCUGUCUAAGAUCUCAAGGCUGCUUGGUCGUGGUCUUUCUGGCCCUGCUCCAGAACGCCUUCAUCAACUACGUCUUCUUUUGAAGAGGCC
Amphiprion ocellaris (clown anemonefish) is the source of this 517-nucleotide long non-coding RNA. NCBI's taxonomy places the organism in Eukaryota, Metazoa, Chordata, Actinopteri, Pomacentridae. The record is from Ensembl.